UUAGUAUUUUUUUGUUAAUUAAGGGGGAUAGCUACUGUGAGGAUCGAAAAAAUAGGUGAUUUUCGGGGAUUUUUUUGACUGGGAUAAUAAAGGAAUUUGGGGAUCGGGUUUUUUUUUUGUUUCAUAAAGUAUACAUUGAAGAUAAUUCUCCUAAAUUUUGAUUAAAAAAUAUUAUUUUGUUACAAAGUUAUAAGCAUUUUUGUGGAGCACCAAAAAAAUUUCCCCCACCACGGUGGGAUCUCUAACUAAAAAAUCGAUUAUCUAAAA
Molecule: long non-coding RNA, 267 nt
Organism: Cotesia glomerata
Lineage: Eukaryota; Metazoa; Arthropoda; Insecta; Hymenoptera; Braconidae
Exons: 3
Source: RefSeq, a predicted model, not a curated record